UGCUCAAAGGCACUGGCCACUUCUUGAU
RNAcentral lists this non-coding RNA (28 nucleotides) under Bombyx mori (domestic silkworm). The record is from RNAcentral. Lineage: Eukaryota; Metazoa; Arthropoda; Insecta; Lepidoptera; Bombycidae.